RNAcentral lists this unclassified non-coding RNA (378 nucleotides) under uncultured Ignavibacteria bacterium. RNAcentral's name for it is "contains 16S-23S intergenic spacer region". The record is from RNAcentral. Lineage: Bacteria; Pseudomonadati; Ignavibacteriota; Ignavibacteria.
UCACUACUUGCGUAGGCAGUCUUCUUAGAGUGCGCAGCAUUACCUGUUAGCAACUAAGAACGAGGGUUGCGCUCGUUGCGGGACUUAACCCAACACCUCACGGCACGAGCUGACGACAGCCAUGCAGCACCUGUACAAACUCUCCUUGCGGAACCCCGACUUUCAUCAGGAUUAGUUUGCUUUUCAAGCCUAGGUAAGGUUCUUCGCGUUGCGUCGAAUUGAACCACAUGCUCCACUGCUUGUGCGGGCCCCCGUCAAUUCCUUUGAGUUUCAACCUUGCGAUCGUACUUCCCAGGUGGAAUACUUAAUGCGUUAGCUCAGACACUAAUCUUAUAAAAAGACUAACAUCUAGUAUUCAUCGUUUAAGGUGUGGACUAC